RNAcentral lists this long non-coding RNA (1711 nucleotides) under Arachis ipaensis. RNAcentral describes it as "long non-coding RNA (AIPA_LNC001650)". Lineage: Eukaryota; Viridiplantae; Streptophyta; Magnoliopsida; Fabales; Fabaceae. The record is from RNAcentral.
CCCUCUGCUCCUCUUGGAAGCUCUGCCCUCUCUCGCCGGUGGUCUGCUCUGCAACGGCGCAACCUGCACCGACUCCAAGUUGGAAAACCGUCACUGACUCUGUUUCUGCUUCUGCUGUAGGUCAGUUUUUUAUUUUUUUAGUUAUUCUUUUUAAUUUUUAUACUGGAUUUUUGCUGUUUUAAUGUAUUGAUGCUAAUUGUAUUUGUUUUAGUUAUGAACUUUGAUAUUUGAAGUUGUUUGUGAAUUUUUAAUAUUAAAUCAUGGAUAAUUUAUUUUGUGAAAUUUUGAAUUUUAUUAUGUUCGAAAUUAUUUAAUUUAUAUGUUUAAAAUAUAUGUAGGUUUUUAAUAAUUUUAUUUAAUAUUUAAUUAAAUCGGUUGAAUUCUAGUCGAACCAGUAAACCAUUGAACCAGCGAACCUUGGUGGUUUGAUUUAAUUUUUGGGUGUUUCCAAUUCUUUGGGUUUUAUUUUGUAUAUGUUUUCUAGCUUGAUGUUUGCACCCGGUUUUAUUUGUUGUUGAGUUGGCUCUAGGCUGUUCCUCCAUUACUAAUAGAUUCUAAUUGAUAACAACUCAAAACACUACCACACUCAUGUUUAGUCUUUUAAUUCAUAAUACACAAUUUAAGUGAUAGUAGCGGUUGCAUCUAUUAAUCAUUGCGAGUUUCUUAUAAAAGGAAAAUAAUUUAGCUUUUAUUAUUUUAAUUAAAUUGUUUGGAGUGAUAGUUUUUGCUUCUAGAGUUAAAUGUUGUAGUUUGAAGACCGGUAAUCCAAUAUGCAUGUAUUAAAUUGUGGUUAGAAAUAGGCCCUAUAGCAACCCCACUCUCCCAAGCCAAAUCCCAAAUUCAGCCUGCCUUUCCUUUCCUCCCCUCUAUACGCGCCAUGCGCACACCCACGUCUUAGCAUGGCAUUCCCUUUCUCUCCAUGUCUGCCAAGUUAACAAUACUUGGGGACCCACUCAAUUUUUUCACUCUGAUUCUGCUUAAUUCCGAAACUGUUGCUGAACCUUUUGUGCCUAUAUACAGCGCUUUGGGGUAUUUAUGUGUAUUAUAAAAUGGCAGCCACGGCACCAGGGUGAUAUGCCGUUGCGGAUUUUGAGCUCUCCGCGGUAGCAAAGCUGUUUUGUCUCGGUAAUCACGGCGAUCUGCAACUGUCCACGGUGGAAAUGGCGGGUUUAAGUUGCAAUUUUUUUAAAAUUUGGAAAUGACAUUGUAGUUUUUAGCCCACGUCUUACGAUCUAAUUUGUAGUUGUAGACUGUAUCUAAAGUAGCAUUGCCAAUAGUAUGAUGCCAACUCCGAAACCUGUAACUCUGAUCAAUUUUCGGAUCCGGUGAUGGUCGAUAAAAGGCCAAUAGACAGCUAACAAAAAUUUUAUUCUUCGAUUGACAUCCCAAAAUAAAACUGGAUUGAGAGUUCACUUUAUUUUGAGGUCGGUGUCACUAAAUUAAAAUUAUUUUCAGUUAAGAAGGUUUCUCAUCAUGUUAACUAAUUAAAAAAAAUAAACAAUAAAAAAUACCUCGAAUAGACUCUCAAUUGAUUUAAACAAAAAUCUUCAAUUUCCUUUAUGUAUAGAGUGCCUUCUUUAAAUGGGAAAUUUAAAACCUUACUAAUAAUAUUUAGUAAGUCGUGAUAUUGUUUUUUUUUAUUUUUGUCUUAUUCUUUUUUCGUCUCAAUUAGAAUCCCACGUCUCUGUCCAUUACAUAUUUGAACCUUGAU